Molecule: ribosomal RNA, 722 nt
Filed under: uncultured bacterium
Lineage: Bacteria
Description: bacterial SSU rRNA
Rfam family: Bacterial small subunit ribosomal RNA
Source: RNAcentral
CAGAUGGAUAACCGGGAGAAAUCCCGCCUAAUACAACAUAAUGCCGGGAGGGGACAUCCCCUGCCGGCCAAAGGGGGCGACCCCGGUCACGGAUGGGCAUGCGGCGCAUUAGGUAGUUGGUGGGGCAACGGCCCACCAAGCCGACGAUGCGUAGGGGUUCUGAGAGGAAGGUCCCCCACAUUGGAACUGAGACACGGCCCAAACUCCUACGGGAGGCAGCAGUGAGGAAUAUUGGUCAACGGCCGGAAGGCUGAACCAGCCAAGUCGCGUGAGGGAAUAAGGCCCUACGGGUCGUAAACCUCUUUUGCCAGGGAGCAAUGCCGUCCACGUGUGGACGGAAGGAGAGUACCUGGAGAAAAAGCAUCGGCUAACUCCGUGCCAGCAGCCGCGGUAAUACGGAGGAUGCGAGCGUUAUCCGGAUUUAUUGGGUUUAAAGGGUGCGUAGGCGGCCUGCCAAGUCAGCGGUAAAAUUGCGGGGCUCAACCCCGUACAGCCGUUGAAACUGCCGGGCUCGAGUGGGCGAGAAGUAUGCGGAAUGCGUGGUGUAGCGGUGAAAUGCAUAGAUAUCACGCAGAACCCCGAUUGCGAAGGCAGCAUACCGGCGCCCUACUGACGCUGAGGCACGAAAGUGCGGGGAUCAAACAGGAUUAGAUACCCUGGUAGUCCGCACAGUAAACGAUGAAUGCUAGCUGUCCGGGGGGAUUGACCCCUGGGUGGCACAG